CGGUGAUGUCCACACAGCCUUUUUUCUUGGUGGCUCCUGAGUAGCUACUUGAAAUGGACUCACGGUGCAGAGAGGACCUAUCUGAGCUGAAUGGGGUCCAUGUUGGAAUUCCUCUAGGACUUUGUUCCUAGCAAAGAAGAACCUCCUGAGUGGUUUUCUUUUUCUGAGAAGACUUCUCCAUUUGUAAAAGCUUCAGAUGCCCCAAAACCUUUUUCCAUCUCAGCCAGACUUGUGUAUCCAACUGCUUCUGAUGCGCUUCCAUGCAUGUUCCCGUGACGCUUCACAACGAAAAGGAAUGUGCCUGCUUCUGUGAGCCCCAGGCCUUUGCGUCCUCCUGAGUUCUCUCUCUCCAAAUGUGACCAGUUCUACCCACUUGGGCCUCAAAAUUCAGAGAGAGAGAGAGAGCGCACAAGCAGGGG
Leptonychotes weddellii (Weddell seal) is the source of this 419-nucleotide non-coding RNA. NCBI's taxonomy places the organism in Eukaryota, Metazoa, Chordata, Mammalia, Carnivora, Phocidae. The record is from RefSeq and is a predicted model, not a curated record.